UCCCCGGUAGCUCAACCGGCAGAGCGGGUGGCUGUUAACCACUAGGUUGGCGGUUCGAGUCCGUCCCGGGGAG
RNAcentral lists this transfer RNA (73 nucleotides) under Deltaproteobacteria bacterium. Its description in RNAcentral is "tRNA-Asn". It matches the Rfam family "tRNA". Rfam says of the family: Transfer RNA (tRNA) molecules are approximately 80 nucleotides in length. Their secondary structure includes four short double-helical elements and three loops (D, anti-codon, and T loops). Lineage: Bacteria; Pseudomonadati; Myxococcota; Myxococcia. The record is from RNAcentral.